AAUCAUGCGGUUAUCACAACAAAUACCAAAUCAUGUGAAAAAUGAGAAUCAAGAGGUCUUUCAAAGGUUGUAAUGUGGCUUAGGUUACAAGAAAGGAUAAGAUUAAGAGAAUUUACAAAGUUGCCUAUCCUAAGGGAGCAUUCCCAAACAUUCAACUCUACACAAUUUCCUUUUCCUUGGUCCCUAUCUUUUUCUUUUUCUUUUUAUUUUCAACUCCACACAACCAUGAGCAUUUUCUUUGCUUUUCUU
Molecule: long non-coding RNA, 249 nt
Filed under: Lathyrus oleraceus (garden pea)
Lineage: Eukaryota; Viridiplantae; Streptophyta; Magnoliopsida; Fabales; Fabaceae
Description: Pisum sativum (pea) long non-coding RNA (PSAT_LNC041951)
Source: RNAcentral